Molecule: ribosomal RNA, 723 nt
Filed under: Triticum aestivum (bread wheat)
Lineage: Eukaryota; Viridiplantae; Streptophyta; Magnoliopsida; Poales; Poaceae
Description: partial small subunit ribosomal RNA
Source: RNAcentral
AUGGAGCUCAACGUUCAGCUUCGUGCCUCUGAUGGUGACCCUCUUCCUAAUCCCACCUGCUAUCGUCACCUUGUUGGUAACCUUGUCUAUCUUGCUAUUACGCGUCCUGACAUCUCCUAUCCUGUUCACAUCCUGAGUCAGUUUGUUUCAGCCCCCACCUCUGUCCACUAUAGUCAUCUCCUUCGUGUUCUACGAUACCUUCGUGGCACGAUCUCUCAGCGUCUUUUCUUUCCCCGCUCCAGCUCUCUUGAGCUCCAGGCCUACUCUGAUGCUACCUGGGCCAGUGAUCCCUCUGAUCGACGCUCACUGUCUGCUUACUGUGUCUUUCUUGGUAGCUCUCUUAUUACCUGGAAGACAAAUAAACAGACUGCAGUUUCUCGCUCGAGUAUAGAGGCUGAAUUGAGGGCCAUGGCUAUGUUGACGGCUGAGGUGAUCUGGUUACGGUGGUUACUUGAGGAUUUUGGUGUGUCUGCUCCUACCUCGACUCCCUUAUUGUCCGACAGUACUGGUGCUAUCAGUAUUGCGCGUGACCCGAUGAAGCAUGAGCUCACCAAGCACAUCGGUGUGGAUGCCCACUUUGUGCGUGUUGUUGUGCAGGAUCAGACUCUCGCUCUUCACUAUGUGCCCUCUGAGUUACAGUUGGCUGACUUCUUCACGAAGGCACAGACUCGAGCGCAGCAUACCUUUUUCCUCUCCAAACUCAGUGUUGUUGAUCCACCAUGA